This is an RNA transcript of Carlito syrichta (Philippine tarsier), 813 nucleotides long. It is a transcript of the gene named 60S ribosomal protein L7 pseudogene, with no coding region annotated. Lineage: Eukaryota; Metazoa; Chordata; Mammalia; Primates; Tarsiidae. The transcript has a single exon. The record is from RefSeq and is a predicted model, not a curated record.
AUGGAGGGUGUCGAAGCGAAGAAAAAGAAGGUUCCUGCUGUGCCAGAAACCCUUAAGAAAAAGUGAAGGAAUUUCGCAGAGCUGAAGAUAAAGCGCCUGAGAAAGAAGUUUGCCCAAAAAAUGCUUCAAAAGGCAAGGAGGAAGCUUAUCUACGAAAAAGCUAAGCACUAUCACAAAGAAUAUAGGCAGAUGCACAGCACUGAGAUUCGAAUGGCUAGGAUGGCAAGAAAAGCUGGCAACUUCUAUGUACCUGCAGAACCCAAAUUGGCGUUUGUCAUCAGGAUCAGAGGUAUCAAUGGUGUGAGCCCAAAGGUCCGGAAGGCGUUGCAGCAUCUUCGCCUUCGUCAGCUCUUCAACGGAACCUUUGUUAAGCUCAACAAGGCUUCAAUGAACAUGCUGAGGAUUGUAGAACCGAACAUUGCAUGGGGGUACCCAAACCUGAACUCAGCAAAUGAACUAAUCUACAAGCGUGGUUAUGGCAAAAUUAAUAAGAAGAGAAUUGCCUUGACAGAUAAUGGUUUGAUUGCUUGAUCUCUUGGUAAAAUAUGGCAUCAUCUGCAUGGAGGAUCUGAUUCAUGAGAUCUAUACUGUUGGAAAACGUUUCAAAGAAGCAAAUAACUUCCUCUGGCCUUUUAAAUUAACCUCUCCACGAGGUGGAAUGAAGAAAAAGACCACCCAUUUUGUAGAAGGUGCGGAUGCUGGCAACAGGGAAGACCAGAUCAACAGGCUUAUUAGAAGGAUGAACUAAGGUGUCUGCCAUGAUUAUUUUUGUUAACCAGUGAGUUAACAAUAAACAAUACCUGCUUUCAAGUG